This 576-nucleotide ribosomal RNA is filed under the name uncultured bacterium. Its description in RNAcentral is "bacterial SSU rRNA". It matches the Rfam family "Bacterial small subunit ribosomal RNA", at positions 102 to 674 of the family's 1533-position model. The record is from RNAcentral.
ACGGGUGAGUAAUACAUCGGAACGUAUCCUGGAGUGGGGGAUAGCCCGGCGAAAGCCGGAUUAAUACCGCAUACGCUCUGAGGAGGAAAGCGGGGGACCUUCGGGCCUCGCGCUCAAGGGGCGGCCGAUGGCGGAUUAGGUAGUUGGUGGGGUAAAGGCCUACCAAGCCGACGAUCCGUAGCUGGUCUGAGAGGACGACCAGCCACACUGGGACUGAGACACGGCCCAGACUCCUACGGGAGGCAGCAGUGGGGAAUUUUGGACAAUGGGGGCAACCCUGAUCCAGCAAUGCCGCGUGUGUGAAGAAGGCCUUCGGGUUGUAAAGCACUUUUGUCCGGAAAGAAAUCAUCGGGGCCAAUACCCCUGGUGGAUGACGGUACCGGAAGAAUAAUCACCGGCUAACUACGUGCCAGCAGCCGCGGUAAUACGUAGGGUGCGAGCGUUAAUCGGAAUUACUGGGCGUAAAGCGUGCGCAGGCGGUGCUGUAAGACCGAUGUGAAAUCCCCGGGCUUAACCUGGGAACUGCAUUGGUGACUGCAGCGCUGGAGUAUGGCAGAGGGGGGUGGAAUUCCACGU